This 1953-nucleotide unclassified non-coding RNA is filed under the name Bactrocera latifrons. RNAcentral describes it as "n-acetylglucosaminyl-phosphatidylinositol de-N- acetylase, transcript variant X1". The record is from RNAcentral. Lineage: Eukaryota; Metazoa; Arthropoda; Insecta; Diptera; Tephritidae.
AGGAACCGACCGACCACCAAAAAUAUAGGAAACAAAUGUAGACUCUCAGGUGCGCGCCAGAGGCAAAGCAAAACUUCAGUUUUUAUAUCUCUUAAACAAAAUAAUAGAAAUCUUAUUCCGAUAUGAAAUAAUUGGAUUUAUUAAAUAGUGUCUAAGUUGAAAAUUCUAACAAAAAACGAAAAAAGAUCUACCAAUCAUUAAUACCAUAAUUGGAAACAUUUGUCUUGGCUUACCCACCGGAAAAAUUAAACAAGCUAUAAAUUAGAAUUUGUGCGCUGCAUUUGAAAUGAAAUGAAAUUGUCUUGGCUUAAUCAAGUGUUCGAAUUGAUUAGUGCGAGUACAUUGCAAUUGUACGAGGAUAGCGGUCGGUUCCUGCAUCAGUUUGUUGGCAAUCAGACGCAAGCGUUGAUUUUAUUACAAGAAACGUGGCGUGCUAACGUUCUGCACUGGGCGAUUCUAUCGUAUCGACGCUUCAGUUCGACAGCAAUCGAAGCCCUGGAGCAUAUUAUUUACGCGUGUCUGGUGUACUUGCUAGUAUGCCUGGGCAUUUUUUAUACAACACGCAGCAACAGCCCAUUGUGGCGUUGGUGCAAGCUGAUCAACAAUGUGCGCUUUCCAAGACAACACAAAUUGGAUCGUGUUUUACUGGUGACUUCACAUCCGGACGAUGAAUGCAUGUUCUUUGGCCCACUAAUAUACACAUUAACACAUCGUUCCAGCUGCCAAGUGUACGUGUUAUGUCUGUCCAACGGUAAUUAUGAGAAACAGGCACAAUUACGACGUGAAGAAUUAUGGCGUUCAUGUGAAAUGUUGGGUGUUCCAGCUGCGAAUAUUAUAAUGGUGAACGCAACAAACCUUCCAGAUGACCCUAAUGUUGAAUGGAAAGCACCAGUUGUUGCUAAUUUAAUACUACACACCGUUGAAAGUCUAGAUAUUCAAGCGAUCUGUACAUUCGAUCGAGAUGGUGUGAGCCAACAUCCCAAUCACAGUGCAGUUUAUUUCGCUGCAGCGUCACUCUGCUUAGCUAAUUUAUUACCAAAAGAAUGCAAAUUUUAUACGCUGGACUCCAUAAAUAUUUUAAGGAAAUAUAUUUCGAUUUUCGAUUUGCUUUGUACAUGCUGCAUUUCGUCAUACUGGUGUAUAUUGGGAUGGGAUGAGGCUGCACAAAUACGUCGCGCUAUGCGUGAACAUAAAUCCCAAAUGAAAUGGUUCCGUUGGUUGUAUAUUUAUUUUUCACGAUAUAUGUUCAUAAAUUCGUUGCGUGAGGUGAAUCUUUCGGACAUCGAAUUGGAGAUGCAAAUUGACGAUAAUACCUUUUGAUUUGCAUCAACUUACAUUAGCUUUAAACAAUGCCGCAUACAGUCAGCCAGCCAAUAGUAAAAACUGAAUUAAAUCUAAAAAUAAAAUCAGACAAACCAGACGUACCACGUUGUAAUAAAAAUCUAUGUAUCAGUAUGUGUAGCAGCAAACACCGAAAAUGCUCCAACAACACAAAACUUAAAAGACAGACAUACAAUAGACAACACAUAGCGCCAGCAACAACAAUCAUUGCAGCUGAAUAAAACCAUAAAUAAAAAAGCUUACAAGAACUAUUUUCACAUUUAUGAAAAGCUGACCGGUGCAAAAAUACAUUAAUUGACUAACUGCAAUAAUAAUUUUGGUGCUGCUACAAAAAUGGCAAUAAUAAUGAUGAUAAUGAAGUUUAGUGACGGUGGUGUUGUCGGCAGAGUGUCACGAAUGUUCAGUAUCUGGCGCCGAAAACUUUUAGAAACAGAAAACCAAAACCUAGGGUAACAAAGGGAAUGUGAAGUCAUUUGACGGCGUGUGAAAACGCUUUUGCCAACAAUAAUUGAUCAACAUGUGAACCUCUACAUACUAUUCGUACAUCUAAAAAAUGUAAUAUAUGCGCGUAAAUUUUAAGUAUUGGGUACAUGAAAAGCCAAAAACACAUAU